UACAGCCCAACAAGAAGGGCUGACAUGAUCCCAGCUCUGCUACUGCAGGCCUUUCACCCUGUGGAAAAAAUGUUCCCGUCGUGGCUGUCAGUCCCAUCUGUCAUCAGCAUCAGUCGAGUUUGCCCCCAGCACUUCCAGCCAGCAUUAUUCCUCUGAAUAUCCGUCCAAAUGGAAACAGCAGCAGUAUGAAGUGAAGGCUGUCAUGUAAGAGCAACAAAUAGAGAGCAGGAGUUUAACUAGGCCGAUGCAAGAACAGGCUGAAUAGAAGCAAGGAGCAGGUGAGGUCAGAGACACAGUUUACAUCCCAGCUCAAAGUUCAGCAGCGUAUCAGGAAGUUAGAAAGAAAAUGUUGGAUAAAGCAAAAUCAUAAACCAUAAACUUCAUCUACUGGACAACCAGGUUAACCUUGUAAAGUUUUGUGGUGUUUUUCAUUUCAAAAGUUUGUAUCCCAUUUUAAAUGUCACAGCAUGUAGCACUACUGUCAAUGUUGGGCAUAAAGUUUAUCACCUGGGAGCAUCAACCACCUGAGGGCCUCCUUUAAACCCGACUUCAGCUUCAUUAUCCCCCCAAGCACUCAGAAACUGACCAGCGCUGUUGAACUGGCUCGAUUAGUUCAUUGAUCAACUGAGAAACACGGAAGGAAAACAUUAACAAUUUGGUGAUUGAUUACUAAUUUAACUUGUUGUUUAACCAGAAAAUGUAAUGCGAUUCUAACAAGAAAAGUACUCAGCGAGUACAGAACUCCUCCAAGGCUGCUCAGCUGCUGUAUCAUUUCCGACGGUUGAAAUCUUGAAAGAAUUUGUGGCAGAAAUCAUGGCGCCAUAGAAUGUGUCCAUUUAAUAUAGAUGCAAACACAAACAAAAUGACCUUGCGCUGAGCACAGGUGUGUGUUAUGCAUGUGUACGUUACGUAUGGAUACUGAAUCAUGUGACCUAAAUAUGUAGCGGACGGCGGGAAAUGAUGGGACUCGGAAACGCCCCCACAAUUUAAUCAAUUGUUCCUUGUAUCAUUUUGGACUGAUAAGUCCCUAAGAACAAACAAGAAAAGCACUCAGAGAGUGCAGUACUACACCAAGGCUGCUCAGUUGUUGUAUGAUUUCCUGUGGAUGAAAUCUUUAAAAAAUCUGUGGUCCACAAUGGUGGAUUUGUAGUAAGAUUGCAAUCAUGUGAUCAUCAGCAGGCAGUAGUGACGCAGUGCUGUUAUCUCACAAUGAUGCAGAAAUCUUUAACAAAUCCGUGGAUCCAGACUAUAAGCUGCAUCACUGCCAAAAUCUAAUCACUUGGUCCUUGUGUCAUUUCUGACUUUCCCUGAAAAUUUCAUCCAAAUCCGUUUGUCUGUUUUUGAGCAAUGUUACUAACAGACAGACAAACGGACAAACCAAUGCCAAUCGUCACAUAACUCUGCCGGUCGUUGGCAGAGUAAAUAUUAGUUUUCUAUGAUGGAGCAUCUUUGGGUUGUUGAUUGUUGGUCCAGCACAGUCUCAUACCAAAAUGUGUAAUAUCUACAUUAAUUUCAUAGCAAAGGCUGUAAAAUUGUGAGAUACCGGACUUGAUUUCUGUCACUUUACACAUAAAAAGACCAAAAAUGUCCAUGUAAAAAGGCUGGAGGGGAGGUGGCAUGAACCCCAGAGCUUUCACUCAGGAUUCAGGGUUUUAGUCUCCUGUGGGAUGUUUGUUUUAAGGCAUUUUCAGGUGGGGUUCACUUUUAUUUUUAACUGUCAUCUCUUGUUUUCACCCACUUUUUGUUAUUGUUUACGCUGCAGAACUUCUUAGCUAGAUUCAGAAAAAGAUCACAGUUUGGUUUAAAAUACACCCAUGCA
Molecule: long non-coding RNA, 1819 nt
Organism: Amphiprion ocellaris (clown anemonefish)
Lineage: Eukaryota; Metazoa; Chordata; Actinopteri; Pomacentridae
Source: Ensembl